ACGGGGAUGGUACAUGCGAGGGAGUAGUUUACUAUGACCAGACUAGUGCCAUCCUAGUGGCGGACGGGUGAGUAACGCGUGGGCAACCUGCCCUGUACAGGGGGAUAACACUUAGAAAUAGGUGCUAAUACCGCAUGAGCGCACAAAGGCGCAUGCCUAUGUGCGGGAAGCCCGCGAGGGCGGUACGGGAUGGGCCCGCGUCUGAUUAGCCAGUUGGCAGGGUAACGGCCUACCAAAGCGACGAUCAGUAGCCGGCCUGAGAGGGUGGACGGCCACAUUGGGACUGAGACACGGCCCAAACUCCUACGGGAGGCAGCAGUGGGGGAUAUUGCACAAUGGGGGAAACCCUGAUGCAGCGACGCCGCGUGAGUGAAGGAGCGUUUCGGCGCGUAAAGCUCUAUCAGCAGGGAAGACAAACUGCCCCGGAAGGGGCAGCCGGACGGUACCUGACCAAGAAGCCCCGGCUAACUACGUGCCAGCAGCCGCGGUAAUACGUAGGGGGCAAGCGUUAUCCGGAUUUACUGGGUGUAAAGGGAGCGUAGACGGCAAGACAAGCCUGGAGUGAAAGGCGGGGGCCCAACCCCCGGACUGCUCUGGGAACUGUCUGGCUGGAGUGCAGGAGGGGUAAGUGGAAUUCCUAGUGUAGCGGUGAAAUGCGUAGAUAUUAGGAGGAACACCAGUGGCGAAGGCGGCUUACUGGACUGUAACUGACGUUGAGGCUCGAAAGCGUGGGGAGCAAACAGGAUUAGAUACCCUGGUAGUCCACGCCGUAAACGAUGACCACUAGGUGUCGGGGGCUUAAGGGCGCCCGGUGCC
RNAcentral lists this ribosomal RNA (816 nucleotides) under uncultured bacterium. RNAcentral describes it as "bacterial SSU rRNA". It matches the Rfam family "Bacterial small subunit ribosomal RNA", at positions 42 to 847 of the family's 1533-position model. The record is from RNAcentral.